AUUGAACGCUGGCGGCAGGUCUAACACAUGCAAGUCGAGCGGAUGAAGGGAGCUUGCUCCUGGAUUCAGCGGCGGACGGGUGAGUAAUGCCUAGGAAUCUGCCUGGUAGUGGGGGAUAACGUCCGGAAACGGGCGCUAAUACCGCAUACGUCCUGAGGGAGAAAGUGGGGGAUCUUCGGACCUCACGCUAUCAGAUGAGCCUAGGUCGGAUUAGCUAGUUGGUGGGGUAAAGGCCUACCAAGGCGACGAUCCGUAACUGGUCUGAGAGGAUGAUCAGUCACACUGGAACUAAGACACGGUCCAGACUCCUACGGGAGGCAGCAGUGGGGAAUAUUGGACAAUGGGCGAAAGCCUGAUCCAGCCAUGCCGCGUGUGUGAAGAAGGUCUUCGGAUUGUAAAGCACUUUAAGUUGGGAGGAAGGGCAGUAAGUUAAUACCUUGCUGUUUUGACGUUACCAACAGAAUAAGCACCGGCUAACUUCGUG
This 484-nucleotide ribosomal RNA is filed under the name uncultured bacterium. RNAcentral describes it as "partial 16S ribosomal RNA". It matches the Rfam family "Bacterial small subunit ribosomal RNA", at positions 30 to 507 of the family's 1533-position model. The record is from RNAcentral.